Molecule: ribosomal RNA, 485 nt
Filed under: uncultured bacterium
Lineage: Bacteria
Description: bacterial SSU rRNA
Rfam family: Bacterial small subunit ribosomal RNA
Source: RNAcentral
GAUGAACGCUAGCGGGAGGCUUAACACAUGCAAGUCGAGGGGCAGCAUAGGGUAGCAAUACUCUGAUGGCGACCGGCAAACGGGUGAGUAACGCGUAUGCAACCUACCCUGUACAGGGGGAUAACCCGGAGAAAUUCGGACUAAUAUCCCGUAAUAAUAUCCGGAGGCAUCUUUGGAUAUUUAAAGUUUCGACGGUACGGGAUGGGCAUGCGUAACAUUAGCUGGUUGGUAAGGUAACGGCUUACCAAGGCUAUGAUGUUUAGGGGUCCUGAGAGGGUGGUCCCCCACACUGGUACUGAGACACGGACCAGACUCCUACGGGAGGCAGCAGUGAGGAAUAUUGGUCAAUGGGCGCAAGCCUGAACCAGCCAUCCCGCGUGCAGGAAGACGGCCCUAUGGGUUGUAAACUGCUUUUCCAGGGAGAGAACUUACGCACGUGUUGCGUGACUGACGGUACCUGGGAAUAAGCAUCGGCUAACUCCGUG